GCCCGGAUGGCGGAACAGGUAGACGCACAGGACUUAAAAUCCUGAGCCUCGCGAGGGGCGUGCCAGUUCGAUUCUGGUUCCGGGCACCA
Molecule: transfer RNA, 89 nt
Filed under: gut metagenome
Description: tRNA-Leu
Rfam family: tRNA
About the family: Transfer RNA (tRNA) molecules are approximately 80 nucleotides in length. Their secondary structure includes four short double-helical elements and three loops (D, anti-codon, and T loops).
Source: RNAcentral